This 237-nucleotide ribosomal RNA is filed under the name uncultured bacterium. RNAcentral's name for it is "partial 16S ribosomal RNA". It matches the Rfam family "Bacterial small subunit ribosomal RNA", at positions 118 to 354 of the family's 1533-position model. The record is from RNAcentral.
UGAGCAAUCUGCCCUUCUCUUCGGAAUAAGCGUUGGAAACGACGUCUAAUGCCGAAUACGACCUCCUUUCGCAUGAUCGGAGGUGGAAAGCUCCGGCGGAGAAGGAUGAGCUCGCGGCCUAUCAGCUAGUUGGUGAGGUAAUGGCCCACCAAGGCUUCGACGGGUAGCCGGCCUGAGAGGGUGACCGGCCACACUGGGACUGAGACACGGCCCAAACUCCGUACGGGGAGCAGCAGG